UUUCGUAGUUUAGUGGUUAGAACAUUGGCGUGUAAAGCCAAAGGUCCAGGGUUCGAUUCCUGGCGAGA
This 68-nucleotide transfer RNA is filed under the name Agrilus planipennis (emerald ash borer). It matches the Rfam family "tRNA". Rfam says of the family: Transfer RNA (tRNA) molecules are approximately 80 nucleotides in length. Their secondary structure includes four short double-helical elements and three loops (D, anti-codon, and T loops). The record is from Rfam by way of RNAcentral. Lineage: Eukaryota; Metazoa; Arthropoda; Insecta; Coleoptera; Buprestidae.